GAGUUUGAUCCUGGCUCAGAUUGAACGCUGGCGGCAGGCCUAACACAUGCAAGUCGAGCGGCAGCGGGAAAGUAGCUUGCUACUUUUGCCGGCGAGCGGCGGACGGGUGAGUAACACGUGGGCAACCUGCCUGUAAGACUGGGAUAACUUCGGGAAACCGGAGCUAAUACCGGAUAAUCCUUUUCCUUACAUGAGGAAAAGCUGAAAGAUGGUUUCGGCUAUCACUUACAGAUGGGCCCGCGGCGCAUUAGUUAGUUGGUGAGGUAACGGCUCACCAAGGCAACGAUGCGUAGCCGACCUGAGAGGGUGAUCGGCCACACUGGGACUGAGACACGGCCCAGACUCCUACGGGAGGCAGCAGUAGGGAAUCUUCCGCAAUGGACGAAAGUCUGACGGAGCAACGCCGCGUGAGUGAUGAAGGUUUUCGGAUCGUAAAACUCUGUUGUUAGGGAAGAACAAGUACCGGAGUAACUACCGGUACCUUGACGGUACCUAACCAGAAAGCCACGGCUAACUACGUGCCAGCAGCCGCGGUAAUACGUAGGUGGCAAGCGUUGUCCGGAAUUAUUGGGCGUAAAGCGCGCGCAGGUGGUUUCUUAAGUCUGAUGUGAAAGCCCCCGGCUCAACCGGGGGAGGGUCAUUGGGAAACUGGGAGACUUGAGUGCAGAAGAGGAAAGUGGAAUUCCAAGUGUAGCGGUGAAAUGCGUAGAGAUUUGGAGGAACACCAGUGGCGAAGGCGACUUUCUGGUCUGUAACUGACACUGAGGCGCGAAAGCGUGGGGAGCGAACAGGAUUAGAUACCCUGGUAGUCCACGCCGUAAACGAUGAGUGCUAAGUGUUAGGGGGUUUCCGCCCCUUAGUGCUGCAGCUAACGCAUUAAGCACUCCGCCUGGGGAGUACGCCGCAAGGCUGAAACUCAAAGGAAUUGACGGGGGCCCGCACAAGCGGUGGAGCAUGUGGUUUAAUUCGAAGCAACGCGAAGAACCUUACCAGGUCUUGACAUCCUCUGACAAUCCUAGAGAUAGGACGUUUCCCUUCGGGGAACAGAGUGACAGGUGGUGCAUGGUUGUCGUCAGCUCGUGUCGUGAGAUGUUGGGUUAAGUCCCGCAACGAGCGCAACCCUUGAUCUUAGUUGCCAGCAUUCAGUUGGGCACUCUAAGGUGACUGCCGGUGACAAACCGGAGGAAGGUGGGGAUGACGUCAAAUCAUCAUGCCCCUUAUGACCUGGGCUACACACGUGCUACAAUGGACAGAACAAAGGGCAGCGAAACCGCGAGGUUAAGCCAAUCCCACAAAUCUGUUCUCAGUUCGGAUCGCAGUCUGCAACUCGACUGCGUGAAGCUGGAAUCGCUAGUAAUCGCGGAUCAGCAUGCCGCGGUGAAUACGUUCCCGGGCCUUGUACACACCGCCCGUCACACCACGAGAGUUUGUAACACCCGAAGUCGGUGAGGUAACCGUAAGGAGCCUAGCCGCCUAAGGUGGGACUAGAUGAUUGGGGUGAAGUCGUAACAAGGUAACCGAAUCUUACU
Molecule: ribosomal RNA, 1529 nt
Filed under: Bacillus sp. mixed culture J7-25
Lineage: Bacteria; Bacillati; Bacillota; Bacilli; Caryophanales; Bacillaceae
Description: bacterial SSU rRNA
Rfam family: Bacterial small subunit ribosomal RNA
Source: RNAcentral